This 391-nucleotide unclassified non-coding RNA is filed under the name soil metagenome. Its description in RNAcentral is "partial contains 5.8S ribosomal RNA, internal transcribed spacer 2, and large subunit ribosomal RNA". The stretch from base 1 to 122 matches the Rfam family "5.8S ribosomal RNA", at positions 35 to 154 of the family's 154-position model. The record is from RNAcentral.
GAUGAAGAACGUAGUGAAAUGCGAUACUUGGUGUGAAUUGCAGAAUCCCGUGAACCAUCGAGUCUUUGAACGCAAGUUGCGCCCGAAGCCAUUAGGCCGAGGGCACGCCUGCCUGGGCGUCACACGUCGUUGCCCCCCCAUCUACUCCUUCGGGAUUGCGGGGGGCGGAUGAUGGCCUCCCGUGCGCCUCGUCGCGCGGUUGGCCUAAAUGCCAAGUCCUCGGCGACGCACGCCACGACAAUCGGUGGUUGCGAAACCUCGGUUGCCCGUCGUGUGCGGUCGUCGCGCAUCGAGGGCUCGAAAAAAUUGCCGGGCUUCGGCUCGACUUUCAACGCGACCCCAGGUCAGGCGGGGUUACCCGCUGAAUUUAAGCAUAUCAAUAAGCGGAGGA